This 841-nucleotide ribosomal RNA is filed under the name uncultured bacterium. Its description in RNAcentral is "bacterial SSU rRNA". It matches the Rfam family "Bacterial small subunit ribosomal RNA", at positions 28 to 896 of the family's 1533-position model. The record is from RNAcentral.
GACGAACGCUGGCGGCGCGCCUAAUACAUGCAAGUCGUACGGGUCGGCUUCGGCCGGCUAGUGGCGGACGGGUGAGUAACACGUGGGUGACCUGCCCUCGAGUGGGGAAUAACGCUGCGAAAGCAGCGCUAAUACCGCAUACCCUCAGCGCUUCGUGGCGUUGAGGAAAGCUCCGGCGCUCGAGGAGGGGCCUGCGCCAGAUUAGCUAGUCGGUGGGGUAACGGCCUACCGAGGCGACGAUCUGUAGCUGGUCUGAGAGGAUGAUCAGCCACACUGGGACUGAGACACGGCCCAGACUCCUACGGGAGGCAGCAGUAAGGAAUCUUCCGCAAUGGACGCAAGUCUGACGGAGCGACGCCGCGUGCGCGACGAAGCCCUUCGGGGUGUAAAGCGCUUUUCUCAGGGACGAGCCAAGACGGUACCUGAGGAAGAAGCCUCGGCUAACUACGUGCCAGCAGCCGCGGUAAUACGUAGGAGGCAAGCGUUGUCCGGAAUCACUGGGCGUAAAGCGCGUGUAGGCGGUGGGGCAAGUCGACGGUGAAAGCGCCGCGCUUAACGCGGCGAGGUCCGUGGAAACUGCUCGACUGGAGGACGGUAGAGGGGGGUGGAAUUCCCGGUGUAGUGGUGAAAUGCGUAGAGAUCGGGAGGAACACCAGUGGCGAAGGCGGCCCCCUGGGCCGCUCCUGACGCUGAGACGCGAAGGCGCGGGGAGCGAACGGGAUUAGAUACCCCGGUAGUCCGCGCAGUAAACGAUGUACACUAGGUGUGGGGGGUAUCGAGCCCCUCCGUGCCGUAGUUAACACAGUAAGUGUACCGCCUGGGGAGUACGGCCGCAAGGUUA